This 441-nucleotide ribosomal RNA is filed under the name uncultured bacterium. RNAcentral describes it as "bacterial SSU rRNA". It matches the Rfam family "Bacterial small subunit ribosomal RNA", at positions 64 to 507 of the family's 1533-position model. The record is from RNAcentral.
GAGUGCGCGUGCCGUACCAAUACGGUAUGGCGCACGGCGCACGGGUGCGUAACACGUGGGCAAUCUGCCCUCCGGUGGGGAAUAACCCCGCGAAAGCGGGGCUAAUUCCGCAUAGCACUCCCUUCACUCCGGUUCGGGGAUUCAAAACAGUGAUGCGCCGGAGGAGGAGCCCGCGCCCGAUUAGCUACUUGGUGAGGUAACGGCUCACCAAGGCAAUGAUCGGUAGCUGGUCUGAGAGGAUGGCCAGCCACACUGGAACUGAGACACAGGCCAGACUCCUACAGGAGGCACCAGUGGGGAAUCUUGCGCAAUGGGCGAAAGCCUGACGCAUCGACGCCGCGUGGGGGAUGAAGCUUCUCGGAGUGUAAACCCCUUUCGACCGGGACGAAUGCCCGCAAGGGAGUGACGGUACCGGUAUAAGAAGCCCCAGCUAACUACGUG